GCGGGUCCUGAGGCGCGGGCGGGGCGCCAGGCGGCCCGGACGCGGGCGCACGGGGCGGGGCCUGCACGGGGGCGGACGCAGAGCGCGACUGACGUACAACCCGACCAAUGGGUGUGCCCCGGUGCCGCUCGCCCCGCCCCUGUCGGCCAGACAAUGGGGGAAGACUGGGCCCCCGGGCUCGGCCGGGCUCGCGAAGGUGCUCCCGCCGAGCAUGCGCCGCGGCGCGGGUCCUGCCGGGAUUGUAGUCCGCGAGCCAGGCUUCCUGCGUGGGCGGCUGGGGACAAGCUUUGGAGGGGGCUGACGGGUGUUCCCGAACUUGGAGGAGGCCUUUCCUUCCUCCAGGGAGGAGCGGCGUGCCUAUUCAGGGUCCAUCGUAAAAGGCUACGCGUAGCAGCACGGGAUUCACGGGCCAUCCAGCUAAAGAGAGGGGCAGAGCCUCUUUGAGAACAGGCCAGGGAUUACUGCUGACGCCAAGGACACUAAAGCCCGUGGCCAGGCUCAUUGGUGGAUGCAGAGAACCCAGGCUCAGGGGAGCCCAGGCAAGGCCAUGGACACAGGACUUUCAGUGAUAUUGGCCGCCACCAUCCUACUCUGGGAGCACUGGAAGGGAGAGCAUAUCCCUCCUUGAAAUCUCCCAGCCUCGGGUCAACCUCAGGCCAGGGAAUGACUGCUCCCUUCUUGGCAUUUCCUGGGUGAGGUGGCCUCGCCCUCCUUCUCCGCCCUCCCCCUCCUCCCUCCUCUCCUCCUCCUCCUCUGGCACUCCAGGGCCCUAGCCCAGCUCGAGGUAAGACUCAGGUCUGGCUUCAAAUCCCAAGACAUCUCCUUGCUAGCUGGAUGACCUCAAGUAAGCCACUUGUCCACCUUGGGCUUAUUUCCUCAUCUAUAAUAUGUACAAAGGACUAAAUGAGAUGAUUCAAAACAGGAGUUGAGCAUGGGGCAUGUUCCUUGAGAGCCAGCCGGCUUUAGGACUCUCUUUAGGACCUGCUGGCUGCUUCACCAUUCUUCAAACGUGCCAGACAUGUCCUACCUCAGGACCUUUGCACUCACUGAUUCCGUGCCUGGAACGCUUUUACUCUAGCACUUAGCCAAAUCCCUCACAACCUUUUGGUUUUAACUUAAAUGAUACUUGCUCAAAUAAACCUAUUUCCCUCACUCCUGAUGCCCUUUCC
RNAcentral lists this long non-coding RNA (1169 nucleotides) under Vulpes vulpes (red fox). RNAcentral's name for it is "lncRNA (ENSVVUG00000030106.1)". The record is from RNAcentral. Lineage: Eukaryota; Metazoa; Chordata; Mammalia; Carnivora; Canidae.